CAGCCACUGAUGGGAUGCUACCAGCAGAUUCCUGGGGUGCAGCAGCAGAACAUGUGCCACCCGCAGAUCUUACCCCCAGCUCUACCCACCCACAGCUUAGCUCCGCCGGCAGCGUCCCAGCCCCAGACCUCGCCUGGCACAGUCCCGCAGCUCACGCAGAUAAUGCACCUCGAGUCACAGCUGCCAUAUGGGGCCGAGGGGCAGGCGCUG
Molecule: long non-coding RNA, 210 nt
Filed under: Gopherus evgoodei (Goodes thornscrub tortoise)
Lineage: Eukaryota; Metazoa; Chordata; Testudines; Testudinidae
Description: lncRNA (ENSGEVG00005020288.1)
Source: RNAcentral